AUUGGAGUGUAGUCCAGCAACA
This 22-nucleotide microRNA is filed under the name Anolis carolinensis (green anole). Its description in RNAcentral is "aca-miR-5468". The record is from miRBase by way of RNAcentral. Lineage: Eukaryota; Metazoa; Chordata; Lepidosauria; Squamata; Anolidae.